Perca flavescens (yellow perch) is the source of this 855-nucleotide long non-coding RNA. RefSeq lists it as uncharacterized. The transcript has 2 exons. The record is from RefSeq and is a predicted model, not a curated record. NCBI's taxonomy places the organism in Eukaryota, Metazoa, Chordata, Actinopteri, Perciformes, Percidae.
GCAACCUUAAACUCUCCAUCGCUGAUUCAGCUUCCAGGGAAGAGAGACCCCGCCUGCAGCGACUGCAUCACUCCGCAUGGGCCGCCAUCCCUAUCUGGAUCCCCUUUUACUACGGUCCCACAUGUGUCACCUACUCCUCCUCCUCCUCCUUCUCCUCCACUCUGUCACCUUUAGGACCAGACUUGCUCCAAAAAUGCUUUGCUAAAGCUGGUAAAAUGGAACCAAAUCAACUGUUCAAUGGAUUUGGUCCCCUUCAACCAGCUGUAGCUGUGCAUUGAUCACUCCGAGAUCACACACAUGCAGAGAGACAAACGACUGGAUGGACAGACUCGAGCCAGUUCAGUGGGAAACAGCUCUGACGUGCAAAACUGAAACUACAUCAGCUUCCUCGCCGAAAAACAAUUGGACUGAGACACAGGCGCUCAGCCAGGGAUAAAUGCACAGCAUGCACCAGUUGCUGUGUGGAUUCAACUCUAUCACCUAAAGAUUCCCCAAAAGACAUCCAAGUCAUUUGCUAAAUCCGAAUAAAACAUGACAGGUAAGUAAUUAAGAGAUACUGUAUCUCGGUGAAUUUUUAUUUUUGUUUUGUGGCGCUGAAAGUGCAUUGUCCUUUGGAGACUUUUUGAAUUGUUCUUUGCAGAUAAAAAAGAAAAAUUUGUGUUUGGUCCAUGAAUUGCCCUUAUGUGUUUGUGUUUGUGUGUGUGCGUGUGUGUUUAUGUUUGUGUGGUAUGGUUGAAGAGCUAUCGAGUGUAAGAACAGAUGCUGUGUAAGGAAAGCACUUGUGCGUGUAUGUGUGUGUGUGUGUUUGACUCCUAAUGCACAUGUCUGAUCAAUAAAGCUCAAUCCUGAAGUUCA